RNAcentral lists this long non-coding RNA (609 nucleotides) under Salvia miltiorrhiza (redroot sage). RNAcentral describes it as "long non-coding RNA (SMIL_LNC006822)". Lineage: Eukaryota; Viridiplantae; Streptophyta; Magnoliopsida; Lamiales; Lamiaceae. The record is from RNAcentral.
AAUCAUUUACAAAACACCACAUCAUCAUGAAGCCAUCAUUAGAAACAAAUCAAAAAGACACAUACGUUUGUGUCAAUGGCUUGUAAUGCUAACCGAUCCACCACACAAUUUGUUUUGGAACACCCGUCAACCUGUUAGAAUUACAUAAUUAAUAUACAACCAUAUCGAAUUUUUUCAUUUCUUCUUAGGGUAUGCCACCUUUACCCCUGAUUUUGUUGUUGUAGCAUUCAUCAAUUUCUUCUUGGCAUCGCGCCCAAAGUUUCCCUUAACCUGUUAAUCCCAAACGUUAUUUGUACACACAUAAAAGAACAGAAUGACUAACAAAACGAAUAACUAUAAUUAAAAAAUGAACAGAGUUCGAUCAAUUACCCUAUUAGAACGCCUGACCUCUAUCUUCUCCACAACAACGUCGCUCACAUCCUUGUCUUGGUCCUUUGCAUUUUCUUUAUUCGCAACAAUUAAAUUCUGAUGCGUAAGAAAACGAACAAAUGUCAAUUGUUGUCGUUGAAGAAAGAGUAGAAGCACAUUUUUAAUGAAUUUUAUUUACGUUGCCGUCAUGAUAUGUAUUUAUAGUAACCAAAUACCUCAUCGUCCUUUGCUGAACCACAA